GCUUAUAAGCACUCCUGGAUUGAUUAAAAUUAGGGGAAAGGACUGUCUCACCCUUGGGCGAAACUUUUAAUUUUCAUUAAAUUUUUCUAAAAUGGGCACUUGCCGCGAUGCGGUGCCAUCGCACCGUGUCACUGGAAACUGAUAACUGGGGACUGGGCUGACGGUACGAUGCGAAGAAAUCGCGGUGCCCCUUUGAUUCUGAUUUUCACCAUUAGCGCGGCGCGCCAUGAUCGCGCUGCCUCACUGGAUUUGGACAAUUAUGAACCGGGCCUACGACGCGACGUGCCACUAUUACAGAACAAUACUGAAAAUUAACAAUUGCUAUACACUGACUCGGCGAUGCGCUAAGGGUCAAAAUGAUGGUGUUUAAUGAUUGAAGCUUAAAAUCGCCA
Molecule: long non-coding RNA, 392 nt
Filed under: Capsicum annuum
Lineage: Eukaryota; Viridiplantae; Streptophyta; Magnoliopsida; Solanales; Solanaceae
Description: long non-coding RNA (CANN_LNC014579)
Source: RNAcentral